Molecule: ribosomal RNA, 465 nt
Filed under: uncultured bacterium
Lineage: Bacteria
Description: partial 16S ribosomal RNA
Rfam family: Bacterial small subunit ribosomal RNA
Source: RNAcentral
GACGAACGCUGGCGGCGUGCUUAACACAUGCAAGUCGAACGGAAAGGCCCUGCUUGCAGGGUACUCGAGUGGCGAACGGGUGUGUAACACGUGGGUGUUCCCCCCUGCACUUCGGGAUAAGCCUGGGAAACUGGGUCUAAUACCGGAUAGCUGCCAUUUUUAGUGUGAUGGUUGGAAAGUUUUUUCGGUGUAGGGUGAGCUGGCGGCCUAUCAGCUUGUUGGUGGGGUAAUGGCCUACCAACGCGGCGGAGGGUAGCCGGCCUGAGAGGGUGGACGGCCACAUUGGGACUGAGGGAAGGCCCAGGCUGCUAAGGGAGGCAACAGUGGGGAAUAUUGCACAAUGGGCGCAAGGCUGAUGCAGCGACGCCGCGGGGGGGAAGACGGCCUUCGGGGUGUAAACUCGUUUCGCUAGGGACGAAGCUGUUUGUGACGGUACCGAGAGAAGAAGCACCGGCUAACUACGUG